Molecule: non-coding RNA, 76 nt
Organism: Bradyrhizobium erythrophlei
Lineage: Bacteria; Pseudomonadati; Pseudomonadota; Alphaproteobacteria; Hyphomicrobiales; Nitrobacteraceae
Source: Rfam
AAGAGCGUGGUGCGGGAAAUCCGCACGCCACGUUCUGUGGGAGCCGGGGGCGGGCGACCGCCUCCGGCGACCCGGU